UGCAUGCUUUUACAGUAUGAAAAUUGGUGAUUUAUAAUAACUUAGCAAAUCGCAAAGUGAAAACAGGCGAUAAAUCAUUCAAGUUUCUGACCUAUCAGCUUUCGACGGUAUGGUAUUGGCUUACCGUGGCAGUGACGGUUAACGGGGGAUUAGGGUUCGAUUCCGGAGAGGGAGCCUGAGAAACGGCUACCACAUCUAAGGAAGGCAGCAGGCGCGCAAAUUACCCAAUUCUAACAGUUUGAGAGAGGUAGUAACAAGAAAUAACAAUACAAGGCAGUUAAAAUGCUUUGUAAUUGGAAUGAUAGAAAUUUAAACCCUUUUUAAAGUAUCAAUUGGAGGGCAAGUCUGGUGCCAGCAGCCGCGGUAAUUCCAGCUCCAAUAGCGUAUAUUAAAAUUGUUGCAGUUAAAAAGCUCGUAGUUGAAGUUCUGCUAAAAGUAACCGGUCUGCUUUGAAUAAAAGUGGUAUCUUGGUAUGUAUUUAGCAAUGAUGUCCUUUGAAGUGUUUUUUACUUUAUUGUAAUAAAGCAUAUUCAGGACUUUUACUUUGAGAAAAUUAGAGUGUUUCUAGCAGGCCAACGCUUUGAAUACUGCAGCAUGGAAUAAUAAGGA
This 609-nucleotide ribosomal RNA is filed under the name Hepatozoon canis. RNAcentral describes it as "SSU rRNA". It matches the Rfam family "Eukaryotic small subunit ribosomal RNA", at positions 225 to 823 of the family's 1831-position model. Lineage: Eukaryota; Apicomplexa; Hepatozoidae. The record is from RNAcentral.